RNAcentral lists this small RNA (291 nucleotides) under Drosophila yakuba. RNAcentral describes it as "GE27998". Lineage: Eukaryota; Metazoa; Arthropoda; Insecta; Diptera; Drosophilidae. The record is from RNAcentral.
GAGCAUUUGGUAUUCAAAAUUAUCGUCCAUAUCGGGCCAUAUCUUAUCUCAUCUCCCUUGGAAAACCCUUCAAAAAGCAGUCAGCGAACGAUGCUCAAAAAGAAAUCCAAUUUAAUGACUGUGAAGCAGCCCCUGCGGAAUCUUAAGGAACCCCACUCAAUCGAUGGACACCCGUUGCACGAUGACUUGUGCUGUCAGUGUACUCGGAGUGGACUUGGGUCACUAAAACUUAACAAAAUGCCACUAGCAAAUUAUAAAAUAGUUAGUUUAAGGAAAUAAAGUGUAUUAGUA